RNAcentral lists this ribosomal RNA (468 nucleotides) under uncultured bacterium. RNAcentral describes it as "partial 16S ribosomal RNA". It matches the Rfam family "Bacterial small subunit ribosomal RNA", at positions 28 to 507 of the family's 1533-position model. The record is from RNAcentral.
GACGAACGCUGGCGGCGUGCUUAACACAUGCAAGUCGAACGGAAAGGCCCUGCUUUUGUGGGGUGCUCGAGUGGCGAACGGGUGAGUAACACGUGAGUAACCUGCCCUUGACUUUGGGAUAACUUCAGGAAACUGGGGCUAAUACCGGAUAGGAGCUCCUGCUGCAUGGUGGGGGUUGGAAAGUUUCGGCGGUUGGGGAUGGACUCGCGGCUUAUCAGCUUGUUGGUGGGGUAGUGGCUUACCAAGGCUUUGACGGGUAGCCGGCCUGAGAGGGUGACCGGCCACAUUGGGACUGAGAUACGGCCCAGACUCCUACGGGAGGCAGCAGUGGGGAAUAUUGCACGAUGGGCGGAAGCCUGAUGCAGCAACGCCGCGUGCGGGAUAACGGCCUUCGGGUUGUAAACCGCUUUCGCCUGUGACGAAGCGUGAGUGACGGUAAUGGGUAAAGAAGCACCGGCUAACUACGUG